RNAcentral lists this ribosomal RNA (254 nucleotides) under uncultured bacterium. RNAcentral's name for it is "partial 16S ribosomal RNA". It matches the Rfam family "Bacterial small subunit ribosomal RNA", at positions 524 to 776 of the family's 1533-position model. The record is from RNAcentral.
UACGUAGGCAGCGAGUCGUUGUUCGGAGUUACUGGGCGUAAAGGGUGUGUAGGCGGUUUUCUAAGUUUGGUGUGAAAUCUCCCGGCUCAACCGGGAGGGUGCGCCGAAAACUGGGAGACUAGAGUGCGGGAUGGGAGAGUAGAAUUCCUGGUGUAGCGGUGAAAUGCGUAGAUAUCAGGAGGAAUACCGGUGGUGUAGACGGCUCUCUGGACCGCCACUGACGCUGAGACACGAAAGCGUGGGUAGCAAACAGG